Molecule: long non-coding RNA, 1260 nt
Organism: Asparagus officinalis (garden asparagus)
Lineage: Eukaryota; Viridiplantae; Streptophyta; Magnoliopsida; Asparagales; Asparagaceae
Exons: 3
Source: RefSeq, a predicted model, not a curated record
AAAGGGAGAGAAAAGAAAAGUAAAAUAGAAGAGAAAGUGAAUUUCUAGUGUUUGGUUUGAAAGAAAACAAAAAAGAAAAUGAAAAUAAUUUUCGCUGAAGAAAAAUCCAUACAUAUCUUUUCUGUCCCCCUUUCUCUCCGCUGCCCAGGUGAAAACGAGGGAGAGAGACGGAAUCGAUGCCUCCGACUUUCCCGAUCUCUCACCUCCCUCUCUCUCCAAAACUCCGAUCAAUCUCCCAUCUCUCUCUCCCCCCUCAUUCUCUUUCUCUCUCUUCCCAAAUCUAGGGCUACAAAGCUAGGGUUUCUCCAUUCGAGCUCUCGUCAGCUUGAGAUACGAGGGUGAGCUUCGGAUCUCGUCAACUUGAGAUCCGAGGGUGAGCUUUUGAAGCGACAACGCCAAAGAACCCAACUGAUUGCCGAUCUUCGCUGCUCGCUUUCUUGCUGAUCUUGAUGGAGCCGUCGCCGGCAGCGAAGCUCGCCGCUCAGAGCAGCAAGCCUCGUCUGUUUACUGGGAGCUCGUCUUAUCUGGACGAGGAUCUCGAUAUAAUUGAGCUAUCGGGCCCGUCUUCUUCUUCUUGGAAUACAAAUAAUCAGAAGAGAAAGAGAAUCCAGGUUGAGAAAAUUCCAUUUUUAAUGCUUUCAUAUGUGACCAACUGUAUUUGGAUUGUUUGUUCAAUUUUAUUUAUGCAGAAAGAUUAUAGUUCUACUGCUAAUUGUUAAUUUGGAUAAUCAGUGGCGAAGCCAGGAUUUUAUAAUCAGUCCUUGAAUCCUAAUUUGCAAUGUGCAGUCAGGGAUUUCAUCUUCAUAACUCAUAACGUGUGUUAUUAUAGAUUUAUAGGUAUGAAUUCUGUAAUCAAUCAAUGUAAGCAGUGUGUGACAAUUUUGUAACGUUCUGUUAAUAUCACUUACUUCUAAUCCUUAACCUUUGCAUGCUUUUAUCAAAAUAGAUUGUGAGUGAUUUUGGUUCGAUGGGUGAACUUGGAUGGUCGUCGCCUUCUUAUUAAAUAUGGAUUUGGAGUAUUUAGUUGGUUGCCAGGCUGAAGGUGGAAAUGCUGCUUGAAAACGAUUGAUGAGUGAAAAAUAUUGUAGAGGCUUGUAUAGAAAAUCAUUUCAUAAGGGAGAUAUUGGAGGAAGACGGUUGAUUAGUAUGGCUUUUGAUGCAUACAUCCAAAUGUGACAGUUUAUCAGUGAAGUUGCUAUUAAACUGAUUGUUAUUGUUAUGUGCACUUAAAAAAGACGUUAUCACAUGUCUUCGUCCCUA